Molecule: ribosomal RNA, 440 nt
Filed under: uncultured bacterium
Lineage: Bacteria
Description: partial 16S ribosomal RNA
Rfam family: Bacterial small subunit ribosomal RNA
Source: RNAcentral
CCUACGGGAGGCAGCAGUGGGGAAUAUUGCACAAUGGGCGAAAGCCUGAUGCAGCAACGCCGCGUGAGCGAUGAAGGCCUUCGGGUCGUAAAGCUCUAUCCUCAAGGAAGAUAAUGACGGUACUUGACGAGGAAGCCCCGGCUAACUACGUGCCAGCAGCCGCGGUAAUACGUAGGGGGCUAGCGUUAUCCGGAAUUACUGGGGGUAAAGGGUGCGUAGGUGGGUUUGUAAGUCAGGAGUGAAAGGCCAGGGCCCAACCCGCGUACAGCUCUGGAAACGGGGAAAUUGGAGUGCAGGAGAGGAGAGCGGAAUUCCUAGUGUAGCGGUGAAAUGCGUAGAUAUUAGGAGGAACACCAGUGGCGAAGGCGGCUUUCUGGACUGUAACUGACACUGAGGCACGAAAGCGUGGGGAGCAAACAGGAUUAGAUACCCGAGUAGUC